GGUUCCUACAAUGCAAGUCGAGCGAACAGACAAGGAGCUUGCUCCUUUGACGUUAGCGGCGGACGGGUGAGUAACACGUGGGCAACCUACCCUAUAGUUUGGGAUAACUCCGGGAAACCGGGGCUAAUACCGAAUAAUCUCUUUUGCUUCAUGGGGAAAGACUGAAAGACGGUUUCGGCUGACGCUAUAGGAUGGGCCCGCGGCGCAUUAGCUAGUUGGUGAGGUAACGGCUCACCAAGGCGACGAUGCGUAGCCGACCUGAGAGGGUGAUCGGCCACACUGGGACUGAGACACGGCCCAGACUCCUACGGGAGGCAGCAGUAGGGAAUCUUCCACAAUGGGCGAAAGCCUGAUGGAGCAACGCCGCGUGAGUGAAGAAGGUUUUCGGAUCGUAAAACUCUGUUGUAAGGGAAGAACAAGUACAGUAGUAACUGGCUGUACCUUGACGGUACCUUAUUAGAAAGCCACGGCUAACUACGUGCCAGCAGCCGCAGUAAUACGUAGGUGGCAAGCGUUGUCCGGAAUUAUUGGGCGUAAAGCGCGCGCAGGCGGUCCUUUAAGUCUGAUGUGAAAGCCCACGGCUCAACCGUGCAGGGUCAUUGGGAAACUGGGGGACUUGAGUGCAGAAGAGGAAAGUGUGAAUUCCAAGUGUAGCGGAGAAAUGCGUAGAGAUUUGGAGGAACACCACUGGCGAAUGCGACUUUCUGGUCUGUAACUGACGCUGAGGCGCGAAAGCGUGGGGAGCAAACACGAUUAGAUACCCUGGUAGUCCACGCCGUAAACGAUGAGUUGCUAACCUGUUAGGCGGGUUUCCGCCCCCUUUAGUGCUGCAAACUAACACCAUUAAGGCACUCCGCCUGCGGGAAGUACUGGUCGCUAAGACUGAAAUCUCAAAGGGAAUUGAACGGGGCGCCCGGCACCAAAUGCGGGUGGUAGCAUCUGGGUUUAAUUUCAAAAACAACUACCAAACAACCUUUACCCACGGUCUUAGACUUUCCCCG
This 1001-nucleotide ribosomal RNA is filed under the name Lysinibacillus macroides. RNAcentral describes it as "bacterial SSU rRNA". It matches the Rfam family "Bacterial small subunit ribosomal RNA", at positions 46 to 993 of the family's 1533-position model. Lineage: Bacteria; Bacillati; Bacillota; Bacilli; Caryophanales; Bacillaceae. The record is from RNAcentral.